GCUAACCUCAGCCCCAUAAAUCAACAAUACAAUUAAUAGGCCNNNNNNACAAAAACUAAACCAUUCGUCAUAGUAUAGGUGAUAGAACUGUCAUCAGCGGAGCGAUAACGACAGUACCGCAAGGGAAAGAUGAAAGAAUAUUUAAAGCAAAAAUAAGCAAAGAUUAAUACUUGUACCUUUUGCAUAAUGAAUUAGCUAGUCAAAGUGAACAAAAAGAAUUAUGCUCACCUUCCCGAAACUAAGUGAGCUACUAUAAAAUAGCAAAUUAGAGCCAACUCGUCUAUGUAGCAAAAUAGUGAGAUAAUUUUAUAGUAGAGGUGAAAAGCCUACCGAACUUAGAGAUAGCUGGUUGUCCAAAAUAUGAAUUUAAGUUCAGCUUUAAAUUUAAUCUACGUACAACUAAACAAAAUUUAAAUUUAAAAGUUAAUCAAAAGAGGGGCAACUCUUUUGAUAUAGUGAACAAACUUAUUUAGAGGGUAAUGAUUUAAUAAUCAUAAGUCAUAGUUGGCCUAAAAGCAGCCAUCAAUUAAGAAAGCGUUAAAGCUCAAACAAACCUCAAACUUAAUCCCAUCAAUUAACCAAAUCCCCUAAACCAAUAUUGGACGAUUCUAUAACAAUAUAGAAGACAUAAUGCUAAUAUAAGUAACAUGANNNNNNNNNNNNNNNNNNNNNNNNNNNNNNNNNNNNNNNNNNNNNNNNNAAUUACCAGAUCAAUAAAUAUAAUCCUAACACUAGCAAAUUAUUUAAAUUAUUGUUAAUCCAACACAGGUGUGCACAAAUUAUUAUAGGAAAGAUUAAAAAGAAUAAAAGGAACUCGGCAAACUAAAACCCCGCCUGUUUACCAAAAACAUCACCUCUAGAAUUCAUAUUAUUAGAGGCACUGCCUGCCCAGUGAGUUUAACUUCAACGGCCGCGGUAUCCUGACCGUGCAAAGGUAGCAUAAUCACUUGUCUCUUAAAUAGAGACUUGUAUGAAUGGCAUAACGAGGGUUUAACUGUCUCUUAUUCUUAAUCAGUGAAAUUGACCUCCCCGUGCAGAGGCGGGGAUUAACAUACAAGACGAGAAGACCCUGUGGAGCUUAAGAUUAAUAAAUUAAUUCAAUUAUUACUUAAUCCAAGGAAACGGUACAACGAAACGUAAUUUAUAGUCUUUGGUUGGGGUGACCUCGGAGUAUAAAAUAACCUCCGAAUGACAUAACCAAGAUUAACAAAUCUAAGUGUAACACUACCAGUAAUUGACCCAUAUAUUGAUCAACGGAUCAAGUUACCCCAGGGAUAACAGCGCAAUCCUAUUCAAGAGCCCAUAUCGACAAUUAGGGUUUACGACCUGGAUGUUGGAUCAGGACAUCCAAAUGGUGCAACCGCUAUUAAUGGUUCGUUUGUUCAACGAUUAAAGUCCUACGUGAUCUGAGUUCAGACCGGAGAAAUCCAGGUCGGUUUCUGUCUGUACAUUUAUUUCUCCCAGUACGAAAGGACAAGAGAAAUAAGGCCAACAUUACCAGACGAGCCUUAGAACUAAUAUAUGAAAUAAUCUCAAUAUACUAAUUCAAUAAACCACUGCUCUAGAAAAGAGUC
RNAcentral lists this ribosomal RNA (1574 nucleotides) under Chaeropus ecaudatus ecaudatus. Its description in RNAcentral is "16S ribosomal RNA". It matches the Rfam family "Bacterial large subunit ribosomal RNA". The record is from RNAcentral. Lineage: Eukaryota; Metazoa; Chordata; Mammalia; Peramelemorphia; Peramelidae.